RNAcentral lists this ribosomal RNA (253 nucleotides) under uncultured bacterium. RNAcentral's name for it is "partial 16S ribosomal RNA". It matches the Rfam family "Bacterial small subunit ribosomal RNA", at positions 524 to 776 of the family's 1533-position model. The record is from RNAcentral.
UACGAAGGGGGCUAGCGUUGCUCGGAAUUACUGGGCGUAAAGCGCACGUAGGCGGCUUGUUAAGUCAGGGGUGAAAUCCUGGAGCUCAACUCCAGAACUGCCUUUGAUACUGGCGAGCUUGAGUUCGGGAGAGGUGAGUGGAACUGCGAGUGUAGAGGUGAAAUUCGUAGAUAUUCGCAAGAACACCAGUGGCGAAGGCGGCUCACUGGCCCGAUACUGACGCUGAGGUGCGAAAGCCAGGGGAGCGAACGGG